GAAUGCCAUCAGGACAAAGCCUGACCAGCAAUCCUGUAGCUAGUUCUUGAAGGCUAGGCGGUAACGAAUAGCUUUAAGCGUAGAACGGCAUAAUAGCGGGCCGAAAGUGAAAGCUGAAGUGAUUGAGCCUCGAAAGUACGUGUCUCUUUUUUGCACAAGAAAAAAACCGGCCUCGCGGCCGGCAGGAGU
RNAcentral lists this non-coding RNA (189 nucleotides) under Paenibacillus alvei. The record is from RNAcentral. Lineage: Bacteria; Bacillati; Bacillota; Bacilli; Caryophanales; Paenibacillaceae.